Streptomyces gancidicus BKS 13-15 is the source of this 116-nucleotide small RNA. It matches the Rfam family "Streptomyces-metK RNA". Lineage: Bacteria; Bacillati; Actinomycetota; Actinomycetes; Kitasatosporales; Streptomycetaceae. The record is from Rfam.
GCGAGACGGGGGGACCCGUGGCGACGUACGACCGAUAAACUGUUCCACGGACGGCGUCGGGUGCAGCCCCCGCCGUUCGCCCAUGAUCAGCCAGCAGCCGCUGCAACCCCAGGGAG